Molecule: ribosomal RNA, 71 nt
Filed under: Klebsiella pneumoniae
Lineage: Bacteria; Pseudomonadati; Pseudomonadota; Gammaproteobacteria; Enterobacterales; Enterobacteriaceae
Description: partial 23S ribosomal RNA
Source: RNAcentral
GUGUAAGAGCAGCGAUGCGUUGAGCUAACCGGUACUAAUGAACCGUGAGGCUUAACCUUACAACGCCUAAG